Molecule: non-coding RNA, 148 nt
Filed under: Chlorocebus sabaeus (green monkey)
Lineage: Eukaryota; Metazoa; Chordata; Mammalia; Primates; Cercopithecidae
Source: Rfam by way of RNAcentral
GCCAGGUGUGGUGGUGCAUCCCUGUAAUCCCGGCUACUCAGGAGGCUGAGGCAGGGGACUUGCUUGAGUCUGGGAGGCAGAGGUUGCAGUGAGCUGAGAUCACGCCACUGCACUCUAGCCUAGGUGACAAAGCAAGACUCUGUCUCAA